This is a long non-coding RNA of Synchiropus splendidus (mandarinfish), 1157 nucleotides long. RefSeq lists it as uncharacterized. The record is from RefSeq and is a predicted model, not a curated record. The transcript has 3 exons. Lineage: Eukaryota; Metazoa; Chordata; Actinopteri; Syngnathiformes; Callionymidae.
AUAAAGGCAUCUUGAACAUUCUCUGACAAGGUAAACUGAACUUCCAUUAAAGGAUUACUCUCGUGACAGAUCGGACAAAACGCUGUUCUGUUUGCUGUUGACGGCAUCAUACUUCAUAACGUUCACAAACCAGCGUGUGAACGUGAAGUGCGUUGGGAGACAGCUGAGGGGAGUGGGCUGGAGGUUUAACAACCUCUUUCCAUGUAUCCUGAUGGACUGCCAUUCAUCAUCGAAAACAAAAAAAUUACUGCUGAUGUGUGUGCGUCACCAGGGGUGAUCAUCAACAGGGACUUCAGUGGAUUAAAAAGAAGGAAAGUCUCGACGUACAUUUAUCCACUGCUCUCAUAAAAAUGACCUCACCGUGAGAACACACGCAAACCUGUGGGCUGAGUUUUGUCAAACAUUGACAUGUCUUUGUACCGUGACCUUUUUACACUUAUUAUCAUUCCAUUUUCAUUUCCCUUAUUUGUGCCUACAGUAGGUGAGCCAAUAAACUGUUGGAUGAUCGAUCUAUCUAUCCAUCAUCCAUUCUGCGUCGGCUGCACUGUCUCCCAGGUAACGCACAGUCAAUUUUAAAAUCCAGACACUUAAGAUCUAAGGCCCAGGUCACCAACAUGGUGGCCCCGGGCACCAGGUAGCCAAGGGAGUAGGCCACCGGCCAUUACAAAAAUAGUUUUCAUGUAAUAACCAUCUUAUUAUGUUGGAUUUUGUGAUGCCUUUUUUUAGUUACACCAUUGGUAUUUAUUUUUUUAUUACACUUAUUAUUUAAUUAUUUAUUACACAGUGCCCUUGGAGUAGCUCAUGGUGGCUAGAAGGUUGGUGACCCGUAGCUUCCAGCACCUCAACCUACCUUAUCCCGCUGAUCUCUGCUUGCACACUCUGAUCUCCUUGUGUAGGCCUCACACUAUGGUCACUUUGAAUCUUGAAUAUAUUCUUUGUUUUGCCCCUUGUCUUCUUAUUCCUUCUAUUUGUUUUUUGUUUCCCUGGUUUGUCUGGGGGUCAUUUGCCAUAGUGUCAGCUGCCUAAGCAGAUGACGAAACACAGCAGGUCAUGUAUUCAUUUUUGACUUGCGAGGGAAGGCAGGACAACCCGCCCGCCCCACUUCUUCCUCCACCAUAUGUGACCAAAUUUAUCAGUGAAUCUAAAAAAGGUAUCGU